This 442-nucleotide ribosomal RNA is filed under the name uncultured bacterium. Its description in RNAcentral is "partial 16S ribosomal RNA". It matches the Rfam family "Bacterial small subunit ribosomal RNA", at positions 338 to 795 of the family's 1533-position model. The record is from RNAcentral.
CCUACGGGGUGCAGCAGUGGGGAAUAUUGGGCAAUGGGCGCAAGCCUGACCCAGCAACGCCGCGUGAAGGAAGAAGGCUUUCGGGUUGUAAACUUCUUUUAAGAGGGAAGAGCAGAAGACGGUACCUCUUGAAUAAGCCACGGCUAACUACGUGCCAGCAGCCGCGGUAAUACGUAGGUGGCAAGCGUUGUCCGGAUUUACUGGGUGUAAAGGGCGUGCAGCCGGGAAGACAAGUCAGUUGUGAAAUCCCGCGGCUCAACCGCGGAACUGCAUUUGAAACUGUUUUUCUUGAGUACCGGAGAGGUCAUCGGAAUUCCUUGUGUAGCGGUGAAAUGCAUAGAUAUCACGCAGAACCCCGAUUGCGAAGGCAGCCUUCCGGCGCCCUACUGACGCUGAGGCACGAAAGUGCGGGGAUCGAACAGGAUUAGAUACCCCAGUAGUC